CGGACGGGUGAGUAAUGUCUGGGAAACUGCCCGAUGGAGGGGGAUGACUACUGGAAACGGUAGCUAAUACCGCAUAACGUCGCAAGACCAAAGAGGGGGACCUUCGGGCCUCUUGCCAUCGGAUGUGCCCAGAUGGGAUUAGCUAGUAGGUGGGGUAACGGCUCACCUAGGCGACGAUCCCUAGCUGGUCUGAGAGGAUGACCAGCCACACUGGAACUGAGACACGGUCCAG
This 232-nucleotide ribosomal RNA is filed under the name uncultured bacterium. Its description in RNAcentral is "partial 16S ribosomal RNA". It matches the Rfam family "Bacterial small subunit ribosomal RNA", at positions 99 to 334 of the family's 1533-position model. The record is from RNAcentral.